UGUUUUACAAGUACUCCAGAUCAGUAGAUGGGCGUUUGAUUUUCCAGUGAGGGUGGCUUCCAGGGUCUCUUGGCUUCAAUACUGUACACACAGAAUUUCAGUGGCAGAUCUUGGUUAAAAUAACAACAAUAACAACCCCUCAUCUAUUAUAUUGCAGCCUGGCAAUUUAACUUAACUUAGUUUCACUGCAGAUAAUUAGCAACUUAAUUUAAAUUAAUUUCACUGCAUAUAAAUAACUUAAUUUAAAUUAACUUCACUGCAUAAAAAUAGCAACCCUAUACUCCAUGCAAAGUAGAAUGGCAGUGGAAUUUAUGUAGUGAAGAAAGUGACAAGUUAUUUUCCAAAUUUAAAGGAAACUUAAGGUUUUAUAGGGAAACAAAUAGAGGUAAAAAUAUUUUUAAUCCUUGUUUUUCUGACAAUUGUGUUCUGCUCUUAUAAAUAGAAAGCUCUACUUUCAUUAUUUUAUAAUAUAGUGAGUUCAUCAGGCACAUGUAUGAAAAUUGUAUAGUAAAGGUAGGUUUGUGUCCACUUGGUUGGUUCAUUCGACUUUGACACAUCAUUUACUUUAUCUCAAAUGGUUAUUUUUUAAGCCUUGGUUUUGUACAACAUGUAAAGGCGUCAGUCUCUGUGCAAUAUUAAAUCUUCUUUCAAGUAACUUUUCUUUGUGUCUCUACCUUUGUUUCUGCAUUGCUCCUGUGCUUCUGCGAACCGUAUUUCAGUGAGUAAUGAUGACAAUAGCAGCCAUGCCGUCUCCCAUUCUUACCACCGGAUGUGAAGAAAUUCUAGAUGCGAUCCAGCCAAUCUGUACUCGACUCUCAGUUCCCUCUUCUCAACUCACAGUGUCUUCCAAAGUCCAUGCCACAGCACAGCCUGGAAAAUCUCCCAAAGCAGUAUCUUGAGGCAAUGGUAGAGCUCAUGUCACAGCAUUGUAUGUCUCAGCCGUGGUGUCAGGGAACACUGGCUUCAUACAGUGCAUUGGGAAAGGUUCUCUACUCGUCUGAUUUUAUUGGUUGUUAUUAAUGCUGAAAGGCUUCGAAUAACACACCAGUGAAGUCAUCUUGACCUGGACAGAAAUUGAAUCCUUACAAGAAUUCUAGGAGCUUGGAAGGGGAUACUUUACCAGGUCUUCGUGUAGUCUCCACACUGCCUUCCACAAUGGUUGAACUAAUUUAGACGUCCACCAAUGGUGUGUAAGUAAUUCCUUUGUUCCACAACCUUGCCAGUAUCUAUUUCUUGACUAUUUAAUAAUAGCCAUUCUGACUGGUGUUAGAUGGUAUCACAUUGUGAUUUUUAAUUGCAUUUCUUUCAGGAUCGGUGAGGUUGAGCUUUUCUUCAUAUGAUUGUUAGCCACAUAUAUAUCUUCUGUUGAAAGUGUCUGUUCGUGUCCUUUGCCCUCUUUUUUUAUGGAGUUGGUUUUUUUUUCUUGAACAUUUGUUUAAGUUCCUUAUAGAUGCUGCAUAUUAGACUUUGGUCAUAUGCAUAGGUUGCAAAACUUUUCUCCCAUUCUGUAGGUUGUCUGUUCAUUCUGUAGAUAGUUUUCUUUUGCUGUGCAGAAAACUAAGUUUAAUUAGGUUUCAUUUGCCAAUUUUUGCUUUUGUUUGCAAAUAUUUGCUCCCAUUCUUUGGGUGUCUUUAUUUUUGUCGGUGCAGUGUGAAUCACAAAAGUUUCACAUUCUACUGAGGUUUAAUAUGCCUGAUUUUUCUUCUUCCCUUUUGCUUUCGGCAUCAUAUCUUAGAAAAGAUUGUUUAACCUAAGACCAGGAAGAUGUAUUCCUGUGUUAUUUUCUACAUUCUGGGCCUGUUUAGCUAUUAUAGAUAUAUGAUCAUUUUGAGUCACUUACAUUUUCAGUGUGAGGCAGGGGUUCGACUUGCAUGGAAUAUGCACUUGCUUAGAAAUAUUUUAUUAAAAACAUUUAUCCAUAUGUAAUUUAUUUGGUGACAUUAUAAUAUUAUUUCACUUUAAAUGUAUGUAUUCAUUUUUGAGCAUUAUAUUCUAUUACAUUGAUCAAGAUCUAUAUUCUUAUACUAGUACCAUAAAUCUUGAUUACUAUUACUUUGCAGUGAGUUUUGAGUCAGGAAGUAUGUAUCUCCCAU
Molecule: non-coding RNA, 2093 nt
Organism: Chlorocebus sabaeus (green monkey)
Lineage: Eukaryota; Metazoa; Chordata; Mammalia; Primates; Cercopithecidae
Source: RefSeq, a predicted model, not a curated record